CAUGAUCCGAAAUCUGAACGUCAAUUUUCAUGAUUAUUUCACGAUGAAGAUCCUCACAUCAAUGAAUCAAAUAAUACGGACAUGCCUUUGGUAUUAGCAGGUGAGAAUACGUGUAUAUUGACUGAAAAGUUUAAGUUUAAAACGCAUUAGUUCACGUUCAAAAGAAAACUAAAUGUACACAUGUACUAGAUCUUUAUGUUUCAGUGUGCGUGUUUCGUAUCGUUCAGCCAAUUUUGCAUUGUUUUUGAACUUUGAUGCUUUUGACAAUCACUCGGUGCUUUCACCAUAUGCAACAAUACUUUCAUCAUUGAAUACCCACUUUCUAAGCCCACCAUGAACUACGAAGGUCAGUUAGUAUGUAAGGACACCAAUGAACAGACACUUUCCAAUUAUGGUACAUCAUAUACAUGGGUGGUCAAACUCACUGGAUGGUUUAUCAACAUAUAUAUAUAUACAGCCUUGCCCCAGGAAUUUUGCCCUGAAGUAACAUUGCAGUCUAUUGUCUCCUUUCUUUUUACAACCCUGGCAGCCAUGCAGAAGCUCACUUGAUCACUUGUGCUUGACAGCAAAUAAUAAUGUCUUGGACAAGUCAAAGAAUUUCCUCCAGUCUUACAGAGAAAUGACAGCUGAUAAAGAAUGCGGACACAAAGUAAAAGUGCUCUUCAACAUUUUGUUGAACAUUUCAGUCUGAUUUGGAAUUCAUCUUGCAAUAUUUCUGGAUUUGUAUAUUUGGAUAUAAGCGUCAAAUUUUCAACUUAUUGCCUAAACAGUUUUGCAUUAAAUAUUGCCAAUGUUUUCUAUUAUUAUUAUUUCCCUCCAAGAU
Saccostrea cuccullata (small rock oyster) is the source of this 823-nucleotide long non-coding RNA. RefSeq lists it as uncharacterized. Lineage: Eukaryota; Metazoa; Mollusca; Bivalvia; Ostreida; Ostreidae. The transcript has 4 exons. The record is from RefSeq and is a predicted model, not a curated record.